RNAcentral lists this ribosomal RNA (113 nucleotides) under Caerostris darwini. Lineage: Eukaryota; Metazoa; Arthropoda; Arachnida; Araneae; Araneidae. The record is from RNAcentral.
AACGGCCGUACCAUACUGAAUAUACCGGUUCUCGUUAGAUCACCGAAGUCAAGCAUCGUUGGGCUCGGUCAGUACUUGGGCGGGUGACCACCUGGGAACACCGCGUGCCGUUG